This is a ribosomal RNA of Aotus nancymaae (Ma's night monkey), 117 nucleotides long. The record is from Ensembl. Lineage: Eukaryota; Metazoa; Chordata; Mammalia; Primates; Aotidae.
GUCUGCAGCCAUACCAGCCUGAAUGUGCCAGAUCUUGUUUGUGCUUGGAAGCUAAUCAGGGUUGAGCCUGGUUAGUAUUUGGAUGUGAGAAAUGAUAAAUGCUUGAGGUGAUAGAUA